RNAcentral lists this ribosomal RNA (462 nucleotides) under uncultured bacterium. RNAcentral's name for it is "partial 16S ribosomal RNA". It matches the Rfam family "Bacterial small subunit ribosomal RNA", at positions 28 to 507 of the family's 1533-position model. The record is from RNAcentral.
GACGAACGCUGGCGGCGUGCUUAACACAUGCAAGUCGUACGGUAAGGCCUUUCGGGGUACACGAGUGGCGAACGGGUGAGUAACACGUGGGUGAUCUGCCCUGCACUUCGGGAUAAGCCCGGGAAACUGGGUCUAAUACCGGAUAGGACUGCGCGGUGCAUGCCGUGUGGUGGAAAGAUUUAUCGGUGCAGGAUGGGCCCGCGGCCUAUCAGCUUGUUGGUGGGGUAAUGGCCUACCAAGGCGACGACGGGUAGCCGGCCUGAGAGGGCGACCGGCCACACUGGGACUGAGACACGGCCCAGACUCCUACGGGAGGCAGCAGUGGGGAAUAUUGCACAAUGGGCGCAAGCCUGAUGCAGCGACGCCGCGUGAGGGAUGACGGCCUUCGGGUUGUAAACCUCUUUCAGCAGGGACGAAGCGUGAGUGACGGUACCUGCAGAAGAAGCACCGGCCAACUACGUG